ACUUCAUGGACCCAGGGCACACACGGCUCACUAAAAUGGCCGUGCCAACAGUUAACCCAGGUUACGUCCAUCCUGUAACUGAGGGUCAAGCUGGCGAAUGUGUCGUGCAGGAGGACAAGAAAAGAUUCAUCGUGACGGCGAGCUGUGUUGCCGAAGGAAACCUACCAGGCUACGUUGCUCCCGUGAGCGAGCUAGAUCCUGCAGACUCCCAAAUGGACAUCUCUGGCAGCAGUUCGACUGGAGCUGAGUUUUGUGCUGUUCAUGAUGAUGCGUCCGAGGUCUCCCCAAGUUGCAGCAGCUUUCUUGCGUCCGAGGUCUCCCCAAGUACCAGCAGCUUUCUUGCCUCUGAGGUCUCCCCAAGUGCCAGCAGCUUCCUUGCGUCUGAGGUCUCCCCAAGCAUGUCCCCAAGUGCCAGCAGCUUUCUUGAUUCAGCCUCAAGCUCAGUAGGAGGCUUCCCUGUUGCUUGCAACAGUGCAGCAAAGGGCUCUCCAUCGAAGAAAUUUAGGAGGACCAUCCGACGACUGCAGUCUAAGGUAGCAAGCUGCCAGCGGACUAUCUCACGGUUGCGGAAGAACCAGCGCAAGCUACCACCGUCCAUUUCAAAGGCACUAGGCAUUAUCCAACCGCAUGUGACAGAGGAGGUUUAUAAACUGCUGUGUACACACAUGCGGUUGCAGCAGAGGGGCAAAGGCAAGCGCUUCCCUGUUUGGCUUAAGAAAUUUGCAUUACAUUUAAACUUUCGGGGACCACGAGCAUACCGUUUUUUGGCACCAAUUUUCUCUCUACCUACACAACGGUCACUGAGACGUUGGUUGAGCAACAUUAGAAUGUCACCAGGUGUAAUUCCUGGAAUAAUACAGUGUGUUUCAGCUAGCACUCGGGAUUGGAAUGCGCGCGAUCGAGUGUGCACCCUGAUUUUUGACGAAAUAAUCUUAAAAAAGAACUUGUCUUAUGAUGCGGGUCAGGAUGUUGUCCAUGGAUUUGUAGAUGAUGGCAUGGAACGGUCAUCGACUAUUGCUGACAGGGCACUGGUUGUGCUUCUCGCUGGUGUUUCCAAGAGGUGGGUGCAACCAGUCGCAUUUACAGUAGGACACACACUGACAUCAGCAAGCAUUAUGGCUAAAUUACUCAACUCAAUUAUUAUGCAACUGAAAGCCGUCCAAAUUAUUGUGAAAGCAGUAGUUUGUGAUCAAGGUACAUCUAAUGUAAGCCUAGCUCAGCAGUUGGGCAUUACUGUUGAAAAACCGUUUUUUGAGGUUCUGGGUGAGCGAGUCUAUUUCAU
Non-coding RNA from Dermacentor albipictus, 1282 nucleotides. Lineage: Eukaryota; Metazoa; Arthropoda; Arachnida; Ixodida; Ixodidae. The record is from RefSeq and is a predicted model, not a curated record.